GACGAACGCUGGCGGCGUGCUUAACACAUGCAAGUCGAGCGGAAAGGCCCCUUCGGGGGUACUCGAGCGGCGAACGGGUGAGUAACACGUGAGCAACCUGCCCCUGACUCCGGGAUAAGCCUGGGAAACCGGGUCUAAUACCGGAUACGACCAUUGCGGGCAUCCGUUGGUGGUGGAAAGUUUUUUCGGUCGGGGAUGGGCUCGCGGCCUAUCAGCUUGUUGGUGGGGUGAUGGCCUACCAAGGCGACGACGGGUAACCGGCCUGAGAGGGCGACCGGUCACACUGGGACUGAGACACGGCCCAGACUCCUACGGGAGGCAGCAGUGGGGAAUAUUGCGCAAUGGGCGGAAGCCUGACGCAGCGACGCCGCGUGGGGGAUGACGGCCUUCGGGUUGUAAACCUCUUUCAGCGGGGACGAAGCCUUUUUGGGGUGACGGUACCUGCAGAAGAAGCGCCGGCUAACUACGUGCCAGCAGCCGCGGUAAUACGUAGGGCGCGAGCGUUGUCCGGAAUUAUUGGGCGUAAAGAGCUCGUAGGCGGUUUGUCGCGUCGGAUGUGAAAGCCCAUGGCUUAACUGUGGGUCUGCAUUCGAUACGGGCAGACUAGAGGUAGGUAGGGGAGCAUGGAAUUCCCGGUGUAGCGGUGAAAUGCGCAGAUAUCGGGAGGAACACCGGUGGCGAAGGCGGUGCUCUGGGCCUUACCUGACGCUGAGGAGCGAAAGCGUGGGGAGCGAACAGGAUUAGAUACCCUGGUAGUCCACGCCGUAAACGUUGGGCGCUAGGUGUGGGGUUCUUCCACGGAUUCCGCGCCGUAGCUAACGCAUUAAGCGCCCCGCCUGGGGAGUACGGCCGCAAGGCUAA
RNAcentral lists this ribosomal RNA (861 nucleotides) under uncultured Actinomycetes bacterium. RNAcentral describes it as "bacterial SSU rRNA". It matches the Rfam family "Bacterial small subunit ribosomal RNA", at positions 28 to 897 of the family's 1533-position model. Lineage: Bacteria; Bacillati; Actinomycetota; Actinomycetes. The record is from RNAcentral.